RNAcentral lists this long non-coding RNA (699 nucleotides) under Homo sapiens (human). RNAcentral describes it as "HSALNT0347794". The record is from RNAcentral. Lineage: Eukaryota; Metazoa; Chordata; Mammalia; Primates; Hominidae.
UGGAACCCAGGAGUUCAAGACCAUCCUGGGUAAGAUAACAGCACCUCAGAGAAGAUUUGGAAAAUAAAUGAGCUGAUGAGAGCAAUUUUCUGCUUCCUGGGCCACCACAGUCUUCUUUGCUGUUUUUGAUUGCAACCAUUUUCAGAGAAGAAUCAACACCAAAGCCUCAAUACCUGAAACAGAGCUGGCAUGUGGCAUAUCCUCAGAAACAUUUGCUAAAUGACACCUAGUCUAUAGGAGGAGGACUCAUUCUUAACCAUUAGAUUUAGCCAUGCAGAAGUCAGAUCAAGAGUAAACAGAGCAAGAACAGUUUUGGUGCUGUGAUGGGUCAAAAGCCUGAGUCAGAUUACAUGUAUAUAAAUUACCUAGUAACGAGCAUGACCUCUGUCCAAGCAGAAGGCAAGCAGGGGAGAAGAUUUAGCUGCUCAACUACAGUUAUUCUCUCAACCCAAGCUAAGGUAGUUGGUGCCAUACAUUUCCCACAGGACUACUAUUUUCCAAUAUCAACAUCUUUAAUUUAUUUAUUUAUUUUUGUUUUAGUGCACUAGCUGGAAGUUUCGAUAUAAUGUUAAAUACAAAGGAUGAGAGUAAAUAUUCUUACAUUUUUCCUGGUCUUAUGAAGAAAGAAUUUUCUUUCACCAUUAAGUAUUAUGUUGUCUGUAGGUUUUUCACAUAUGUUCAUAGUGGGUUGAAGCACUC